UUAGGAAUAUUCGACAAUGGGGGAAACCCUGAUCGAGCAAUGCCGCGUGAAGGAUGAAGGUCCUAUGGAUUGUAAACUUCUGUUGUUAGGGAAGAACGACCUAUAUAGGAAAUGAUAUAGGAGUGACGGUACCUUUCAAGAAAGCUCCGGCUAACUACGUGCCAGCAGCCGCGGUAAUACGUAGGGAGCAAGCGUUAUCCGGAUUUAUUGGGUGUAAAGGGUGCGUAGGCGGUUAGAUAGGUCUAUGGUUUAAGCCCGAGGCUUAACCUCGGUUCGCCAUAGAAACCGUCCAACUUGAGUAUG
This 303-nucleotide ribosomal RNA is filed under the name uncultured bacterium. RNAcentral's name for it is "bacterial SSU rRNA". It matches the Rfam family "Bacterial small subunit ribosomal RNA", at positions 355 to 650 of the family's 1533-position model. The record is from RNAcentral.